Molecule: ribosomal RNA, 521 nt
Filed under: uncultured bacterium
Lineage: Bacteria
Description: bacterial SSU rRNA
Rfam family: Bacterial small subunit ribosomal RNA
Source: RNAcentral
UUACCUGGGCUUAAAUGUAGAGUGCAUUUUCUAGAGAUAGGAAUUCCCUUCGGGGCUUUCUGCAAGGUGCUGCAUGGUUGUCGUCAGCUCGUGCCGUGAGGUGUCGGGUUAAGUCCCAUAACGAGCGCAACCCUUAUCGUUAGUUGCCAUCUGGUAAAGCAGGGGACCCUAGCGAAACUGCCACCGUAAGGUGAGAGGAAGGUGGGGAUGACGUCAAAUCAGCACGGCCCUUAUGUCCAGGGCUACACACGUGUUACAAUGGCCGGUACAGAGGGCAGCUACCUGGUGACAGGAUGCUAAUCUCGAAAACCGGUCUCAGUUCGGAUCGAAGUCUGCAACUCGACUUCGUGAAGCUGGAUUCGCUAGUAAUCGCGCAUCAGCCAUGGCGCGGUGAAUACGUUCCCGGGCCUUGUACACACCGCCCGUCAAGCCAUGGAAGCUGGGGGUGCCUGAAGUCCGUAACCGUAAGGAGCGGCCUAGGGUAAAACUAGUGACUGGGGCGAAGUCGUAACAAGGUAGCC